GGCACUGUGGCGGAGUGGUCUAACGCGUGUGACUCGAACGACUAUGAACAGAGUAUGUAUCGUAGUCCGUGCCUAUCACAUCUCUUCGGAGGCGCCCGUUCGAAUCGGGCCAGUGUCG
This is a non-coding RNA of Hypoxylon sp. FL0543, 118 nucleotides long. NCBI's taxonomy places the organism in Eukaryota, Fungi, Ascomycota, Sordariomycetes, Xylariales, Hypoxylaceae. The record is from the annotation of a GenBank genome assembly.